UGUAAGCUAUGCCUCCGGGCACAUACAGACGAUGGGUAUAGACUCCUACUUUUUAGAUAAAUAUAAGUCUGAGAGCAGGAGGCGCGGCCACGGCGAGCACGCCGCGCGGAUGGCGAUGCAGGCGGCUGAGGAGCGGCCGUGUGAGCGCGGGCUGGCUGCUCCAGAGGACGCGCCGCUGCUAGUGCGGGCAGCUGCCGCUGCGUACCGCGGCGCCACCGGUACCGGCGCCUACGGGGCACUCCGAGCAUCCGCAGCAGCCAGCGCCAGAGCCGCCUACGGGUCGACCAAAUUUCGGCGGCAGCUGUGAAGGCCUCACGUCUCAACACGGAUGGACCCCAGUGCCCUGCUAGUGGAGCCUCGGUGCGGGCGUCAACUUCCGAACGACGACCGCAGUGGGAGUUCCCUGUGGUGACUGGAGCUGACCGGGAAGCUGACUGCCAUCUCCAACAGCUUCCCCGAGCGGGAACCUUUGAGUCCCGCAUUAGGGGGACGCCCACCUUCCCCCACACACCGUAAGGUGGCUUGCGGAGUAAACACCUGCUGUGUGUGCUGAGGACCUGACAUACUGCAUUGCCAGCGACGCGACAAGCCACCGAGCUUGGCGCCACCGCCAGCAACACGUCUCGUGUGGAGAGAGCCAGUCAUCUCUAGUGUGGACCUGACAGGAAGAUGGCAGGCUUGUGGUUAACAGCGCUGAUACAGUCAGGCCGUUUACUCUCUAACGGCUUCUGCAGGUGUACUUGGACUGGAUUUGGUCUAUAUUGUGGCAAGACUCUUACUUUCUAACCUUUGAUGCUGCUGGACUGGUUUUUGAGAAGUGAGAAUCCAAAAUAUGUAAUCCAUCUGUGCGAAUUUUGUCUAAUAAAUGAUACGUUUUUAUGCUACCACUAAA
Schistocerca americana (American grasshopper) is the source of this 892-nucleotide long non-coding RNA. RefSeq lists it as uncharacterized. The transcript has 2 exons. The record is from RefSeq and is a predicted model, not a curated record. NCBI's taxonomy places the organism in Eukaryota, Metazoa, Arthropoda, Insecta, Orthoptera, Acrididae.